RNAcentral lists this ribosomal RNA (253 nucleotides) under uncultured bacterium. Its description in RNAcentral is "partial 16S ribosomal RNA". It matches the Rfam family "Bacterial small subunit ribosomal RNA", at positions 524 to 776 of the family's 1533-position model. The record is from RNAcentral.
UACGGGGGGAGCAAGCGUUGUUCGGAUUUACUGGGCGUAAAGGGCGCGUAGGCGGCACCGCAAGUCGACUGUGAAAUCUCCGGGCUUAACUCGGAAAGGUCAGCCGAUACUGCGGGGCUAGAGUGCAGAAGGGGCAACUGGAAUUCUCGGUGUAGCGGUGAAAUGCGUAGAUAUCGAGAGGAACACCUGCGGCGAAGGCGGGUUGCUGGGCUGACACUGACGCUGAGGCGCGAAAGCCAGGGGAGCGAACGGG